CCUACGGGUGGCAGCAGUGAGGAAUAUUGGUCAAUGGGCGUAAGCCUGAACCAGCCAAGUCGCGUGAGGGAUGAAGGUUCUAUGGAUCGUAAACCUCUUUUAUAAGGGAAUAAAGUGUGGGACGUGUCCUAUUUUGUAUGUACCUUAUGAAUAAGGAUCGGCUAACUCCGUGCAAGCAGCCGCGGUAAUACGGAGGGUCCGAGCGUUAUCCGGAUUUAUUGGGUUUAAAGGGUGCGUAGGCGGCCUUUUACGUCAGCGGUGAAAGUCUGUGGCUCAACCAUAGAAUUGCCGUUGAAACUGGGGGGCUGGAGUAUGUUUGCGGCAGGCGGAAUGCGUGGGGUAGCGGUGAAAUGCUUAGAUAUCAGGCAGAACCCCGGUGGCGAAGGCAGCC
Molecule: ribosomal RNA, 391 nt
Filed under: uncultured bacterium
Lineage: Bacteria
Description: partial 16S ribosomal RNA
Rfam family: Bacterial small subunit ribosomal RNA
Source: RNAcentral